Molecule: long non-coding RNA, 1575 nt
Organism: Poecilia latipinna (sailfin molly)
Lineage: Eukaryota; Metazoa; Chordata; Actinopteri; Cyprinodontiformes; Poeciliidae
Exons: 2
Source: RefSeq, a predicted model, not a curated record
CUUAUUCCAAGCAGCCUGAGCUGAUUAAUUUCAUCUGUAGUUUUACACCUUUAACCUGAAGGUCCUGCUUCUGUUGGAGACUGAUUGUUCCUAAAGCAGAUAAAGAGAAUAUUGCCAAUGAUCCUUAGUUCUUUUUUUAUAUAUUUUACCAACAUCUGUGAAUGUAACUCGGACAAAGACAUCUGCUUUUCUAAAAUCAGGAAGGUGAGCAGAACCACAAAUCUUACUCAGAAAACCGUUUGAGAAAUUAAAGUUGAACUGAAGCACAUCUGUAACCAUCAUAUUCAAAACAGCAUUUUUUUUUAUACAAACAAUACUCCUGGAUUUAAUGUCAGUGGGUUUUCUUCUUUUUGUCUCAGACAUGUCUGCAGACCGUCAAGCUAAUUCAACAAAGAACGCAAUAAAGUGAAACUGCCAUAUUAUUGUCUUAGAGACAAAAUUCAGUGUAAGAAAACUGUUUAUAACCUCUGUUGCAUGAAAAAAUAAUCGGCACCCUACUGCAAGUUUGAUGACUAAUUAAAAGCAACAGGCAGUAUAUCCUUCCCCCCCAUUAAUUGUGAACAUGGCACUUUUAUUGUUUAACAUCUCUGUUAAACAAUGUGGUUUCAUUUAUAAAUAAAAUUUAAUUUCUUUUCAGAAAAGCACCCAUUAAUAAAGUGUAGCAGAUUAAACCUUUGGCUUGCGUUAUUAACUUUUGGUAGGUGUGUUACAAAUAUAUGUUAUUAUGCUUUUACUUUGCAGCUUUUAUUUUGCAGCCUGCACCUAGGUUUUUAUUGUCUAUUGCGUUUUAAUAAGAAGUUGCAAAUUCACUACGCAUAUCCUGCUACUCGCAUAAAAAUGCCUAAAAAGCAAAAUCUUUUCUCAUUAGGAAGAAGUAGUAAAGGUGGGAGAUUUUCAUAAGAAAUUAUUAUAAACACCAACUACCAAUCUUAUAUGUCCUUUUAAGUUACUUAACGACUGGAUAAAUAAUGACAUGACUUUGAGGGAAAACUGUUUCACUUUUUGCAACCAGGUGGAUCCAUGUGUACUUUAAAACUUGAGUAUCAUUUGGGUAUCUUUUCUUUUCUUUUCUUUUUCAUUUUGAGUCUGUGAUUCUGCAUCUGUCCAGCAGGUGUCCUCGCACAGCCCUGACACAGACCUGGUUUCUCACCUGCUGCUUGUGUCUCCACUUUAAAUCCAUUCAGCUGGUUGUCAAUUUUUUCUCUCUUCCUGUCGGCUUGCCUGAACAAUCCUUGCUCACUGAACUUUCCUGAUUGAUCCAGAGCAAAGCUGCUGUUAUACACAGUCAGGGAAGCCUCUAAUGAUGAUUUUUGACAUCUUAUUUUGUUUGCCUUAAAACCUAAGAUAUGUUUAGUUUAUAAUACAAGAAAAACAUCGGACUCAACACUCGGCUCAUUGCAUUGUUUUGCAAAGAAAAAAAGAGUUGCACACCAUCAGAUGAAGGUGAACACAUGAUUUUUCAAUGAAACGCUGCAAUAUUGUCUUUGCAGAAUAUUGCAUUGCUGUGGUGGAAGUGAAGCCUGUCACGGCUGUAAAAACCCGACGCCCUGCAGGCUGAAUUCUUGCAGGGAAAGA